UUAUUUAAUUGAAAUAAUAAUUGCCUUUAAGACAAAAAGGGGAAUCCGGUUUGAUUCCGGAGCUGUGCCGCAACUGUAAAGCCAGAGGACCGUGUCUUAGAG
Molecule: non-coding RNA, 102 nt
Filed under: Candidatus Beckwithiibacteriota
Lineage: Bacteria
Source: RNAcentral